Molecule: ribosomal RNA, 2696 nt
Filed under: Staphylococcus aureus M0540
Lineage: Bacteria; Bacillati; Bacillota; Bacilli; Caryophanales; Staphylococcaceae
Description: bacterial LSU rRNA
Rfam family: Bacterial large subunit ribosomal RNA
Source: RNAcentral
UUAAGUUAUUAAGGGCGCACGGUGGAUGCCUUGGCACUAGAAGCCGAUGAAGGACGUUACUAACGACGAUAUGCUUUGGGGAGCUGUAAGUAAGCUUUGAUCCAGAGAUUUCCGAAUGGGGAAACCCAGCAUGAGUUAUGUCAUGUUAUCGAUAUGUGAAUACAUAGCAUAUCAGAAGGCACACCCGGAGAACUGAAACAUCUUAGUACCCGGAGGAAGAGAAAGAAAAUUCGAUUCCCUUAGUAGCGGCGAGCGAAACGGGAAGAGCCCAAACCAACAAGCUUGCUUGUUGGGGUUGUAGGACACUCUAUACGGAGUUACAAAGGACGACAUUAGACGAAUCAUCUGGAAAGAUGAAUCAAAGAAGGUAAUAAUCCUGUAGUCGAAAAUGUUGUCUCUCUUGAGUGGAUCCUGAGUACGACGGAGCACGUGAAAUUCCGUCGGAAUCUGGGAGGACCAUCUCCUAAGGCUAAAUACUCUCUAGUGACCGAUAGUGAACCAGUACCGUGAGGGAAAGGUGAAAAGCACCCCGGAAGGGGAGUGAAAUAGAACCUGAAACCGUGUGCUUACAAGUAGUCAGAGCCCGUUAAUGGGUGAUGGCGUGCCUUUUGUAGAAUGAACCGGCGAGUUACGAUUUGAUGCAAGGUUAAGCAGUAAAUGUGGAGCCGUAGCGAAAGCGAGUCUGAAUAGGGCGUUUAGUAUUUGGUCGUAGACCCGAAACCAGGUGAUCUACCCUUGGUCAGGUUGAAGUUCAGGUAACACUGAAUGGAGGACCGAACCGACUUACGUUGAAAAGUGAGCGGAUGAACUGAGGGUAGCGGAGAAAUUCCAAUCGAACCUGGAGAUAGCUGGUUCUCUCCGAAAUAGCUUUAGGGCUAGCCUCAAGUGAUGAUUAUUGGAGGUAGAGCACUGUUUGGACGAGGGGCCCCUCUCGGGUUACCGAAUUCAGACAAACUCCGAAUGCCAAUUAAUUUAACUUGGGAGUCAGAACAUGGGUGAUAAGGUCCGUGUUCGAAAGGGAAACAGCCCAGACCACCAGCUAAGGUCCCAAAAUAUAUGUUAAGUGGAAAAGGAUGUGGCGUUGCCCAGACAACUAGGAUGUUGGCUUAGAAGCAGCCAUCAUUUAAAGAGUGCGUAAUAGCUCACUAGUCGAGUGACACUGCGCCGAAAAUGUACCGGGGCUAAACAUAUUACCGAAGCUGUGGAUUGUCCUUUGGACAAUGGUAGGAGAGCGUUCUAAGGGCGUUGAAGCAUGAUCGUAAGGACAUGUGGAGCGCUUAGAAGUGAGAAUGCCGGUGUGAGUAGCGAAAGACGGGUGAGAAUCCCGUCCACCGAUUGACUAAGGUUUCCAGAGGAAGGCUCGUCCGCUCUGGGUUAGUCGGGUCCUAAGCUGAGGCCGACAGGCGUAGGCGAUGGAUAACAGGUUGAUAUUCCUGUACCACCUAUAAUCGUUUUAAUCGAUGGGGGGACGCAGUAGGAUAGGCGAAGCGUGCGAUUGGAUUGCACGUCUAAGCAGUAAGGCUGAGUAUUAGGCAAAUCCGGUACUCGUUAAGGCUGAGCUGUGAUGGGGAGAAGACAUUGAGUCUUCGAGUCGUUGAUUUCACACUGCCGAGAAAAGCCUCUAGAUAGAAAAUAGGUGCCCGUACCGCAAACCGACACAGGUAGUCAAGAUGAGAAUUCUAAGGUGAGCGAGCGAACUCUCGUUAAGGAACUCGGCAAAAUGACCCCGUAACUUCGGGAGAAGGGGUGCUCUUUAGGGUUAACGCCCAGAAGAGCCGCAGUGAAUAGGCCCAAGCGACUGUUUAUCAAAAACACAGGUCUCUGCUAAACCGUAAGGUGAUGUAUAGGGGCUGACGCCUGCCCGGUGCUGGAAGGUUAAGAGGAGUGGUUAGCUUCUGCGAAGCUACGAAUCGAAGCCCCAGUAAACGGCGGCCGUAACUAUAACGGUCCUAAGGUAGCGAAAUUCCUUGUCGGGUAAGUUCCGACCCGCACGAAAGGCGUAACGAUUUGGGCACUGUCUCAACGAGAGACUCGGUGAAAUCAUAGUACCUGUGAAGAUGCAGGUUACCCGCGACAGGACGGAAAGACCCCGUGGAGCUUUACUGUAGCCUGAUAUUGAAAUUCGGCACAGCUUGUACAGGAUAGGUAGGAGCCUUUGAAACGUGAGCGCUAGCUUACGUGGAGGCGCUGGUGGGAUACUACCCUAGCUGUGUUGGCUUUCUAACCCGCACCACUUAUCGUGGUGGGAGACAGUGUCAGGCGGGCAGUUUGACUGGGGCGGUCGCCUCCUAAAAGGUAACGGAGGCGCUCAAAGGUUCCCUCAGAAUGGUUGGAAAUCAUUCAUAGAGUGUAAAGGCAUAAGGGAGCUUGACUGCGAGACCUACAAGUCGAGCAGGGUCGAAAGACGGACUUAGUGAUCCGGUGGUUCCGCAUGGAAGGGCCAUCGCUCAACGGAUAAAAGCUACCCCGGGGAUAACAGGCUUAUCUCCCCCAAGAGUUCACAUCGACGGGGAGGUUUGGCACCUCGAUGUCGGCUCAUCGCAUCCUGGGGCUGUAGUCGGUCCCAAGGGUUGGGCUGUUCGCCCAUUAAAGCGGUACGCGAGCUGGGUUCAGAACGUCGUGAGACAGUUCGGUCCCUAUCCGUCGUGGGCGUAGGAAAUUUGAGAGGAGCUGUCCUUAGUACGAGAGGACCGGGA